CCUACGGGCGGCAGCAGUGGGGGAUAUUGCACAAUGGGGGAAACCCUGAUGCAGCGACGCCGCGUGAGUGAAGAAGUAUUUCGGUAUGUAAAGCUCUAUCAGCAGGGAAGAAAAUGACAGUACCUGACCAAGAAGCCCCGGCUAACUACGUUCCAGCACCCGUGGUAAUACGUAGGGGGCAGGCGUUAUCCGGAUGUACUGGGUGUAAAGGGGGCGUAGACGGUUAUGUAAGUCUGGAGUGAAAGCCCGGGGCCCAACCCCGGGACUGCUGUGGAAACUGUGUAACUGGAGUACAGGAGGGGCAGGCGGAAUUCCUGGUGUAGCGGUGAAAUGCGUAGAUAUCAGGAGGAACACCGGCGGCGAAGGCAGCCUGCUGGACUGAAACUGACGUUGAGGCUCGAAAGCGUGGGGAGCGAACAGGAUUAGAUACCCCAGUAGUC
RNAcentral lists this ribosomal RNA (440 nucleotides) under uncultured bacterium. Its description in RNAcentral is "partial 16S ribosomal RNA". It matches the Rfam family "Bacterial small subunit ribosomal RNA", at positions 338 to 795 of the family's 1533-position model. The record is from RNAcentral.